GAGUUUGAUCCUGGCUCAGGCCGAACGCUGGCGGCGUGCCUAAUACAUGCAAGUGGAACGCAUGAUUGAUACCGGAGCUUGCUCCACCAUUAAUCAUGAGUCGCGAACGGGUGAGUAACGCGUAGGUAACCUACCUCAUAGCGGGGGAUAACUAUUGGAAACGAUAGCUAAUACCGCAUAACAGUCUUUGACACAUGUUAGAGACUUAAAAGGAGCAAUUGCUUCACUAUGAGAUGGACCUGCGUUGUAUUAGCUAGUUGGUGAGGUAAAGGCUCACCAAGGCGACGAUACAUAGCCGACCUGAGAGGGUGAUCGGCCACACUGGGACUGAGACACGGCCCAGACUCCUACGGGAGGCAGCAGUAGGGAAUCUUCGGCAAUGGGGGGAACCCUGACCGAGCAACGCCGCGUGAGUGAAGAAGGUUUUCGGAUCGUAAAGCUCUGUUGUUAGAGAAGAACGUGUGUGAGAGUGGAAAGUUCACACAGUGACGGUAACUAACCAGAAAGGGACGGCUAACUACGUGCCAGCAGCCGCGGUAAUACGUAGGUCCCGAGCGUUGUCCGGAUUUAUUGGGCGUAAAGCGAGCGCAGGCGGUUCUGUAAGUCUGAAGUUAAAGGCAGUGGCUUAACCAUUGUACGCUUUGGAAACUGCAGGACUUGAGUGCAGAAGGGGAGAGUGGAAUUCCUAGUGUAGCGGUGAAAUGCGUAGA
This 710-nucleotide ribosomal RNA is filed under the name uncultured bacterium. Its description in RNAcentral is "bacterial SSU rRNA". It matches the Rfam family "Bacterial small subunit ribosomal RNA", at positions 9 to 694 of the family's 1533-position model. The record is from RNAcentral.